GCGUGCCUAWACAUGCAAGUCGAGCGGACAGAUGGGAGCUUGCUCCCUGAUGUUAGCGGCGGACGGGUGAGUAACACGUGGGUAACCUGCCUGUAAGACUGGGAUAACUCCGGGAAACCGGGGCUAAUACCGGAUGGUUGUUUGAACCGCAUGGUUCAGACAUAAAAGGUGGCUUUGGCUACCACUUACAGAUGGACCCGCGGCGCAUUAGCUAGUUGGUGAGGUAACGGCUCACCAAGGCGACGAUGCGUAGCCGACCUGAGAGGGUGAUCGGCCACACUGGGACUGAGACACGGCCCAGACUCCUACGGGAGGCAGCAGUAGGGAAUCUUCCGCAAUGGACGAAAGUCUGACGGAGCAACGCCGCGUGAGUGAUGAAGGUUUUCGGAUCGUAAAGCUCUGUUGUUAGGGAAGAACAAGUGCCGUUCAAAUAGGGCGGCACCUUGACGGUACCUAACCAGAAAGCCACGGCUAACUACGUGCCAGCAGCCGCGGUAAUACGUAGGUGGCAAGCGUUGUCCGGAAUUAUUGGGCGUAAAGGGCUCGCAGGCGGUUUCUUAAGUCUGAUGUGAAAGCCCCCGGCUCAACCGGGGAGGGUCAUUGGAAACUGGGGAACUUGAGUGCAGAAGAGGAGAGUGGAAUUCCACGUGUAGCGGUGAAAUGCGUAGAGAUGUGGAGGAACACCAGUGGCGAAGGCGACUCUCUGGUCUGUAACUGACGCUGAGGAGCGAAAGCGUGGGGAGCGAACAGGAUUAGAUACCCUGGUAGUCCACGCCGUAAACGAUGAGUGCUAAGUGUUAGGGGGUUUCCGCCCCUUAGUGCUGCAGCUAACGCAUUUAAGCA
RNAcentral lists this ribosomal RNA (843 nucleotides) under Bacillus velezensis. Its description in RNAcentral is "bacterial SSU rRNA". It matches the Rfam family "Bacterial small subunit ribosomal RNA", at positions 42 to 866 of the family's 1533-position model. Lineage: Bacteria; Bacillati; Bacillota; Bacilli; Caryophanales; Bacillaceae. The record is from RNAcentral.